AGCGAACGCUGGCGGCAGGCCUAACACAUGCAAGUCGAACGAACUCUUCGGAGUUAGUGGCGGACGGGUGCGUAACACGUGGGAACGUGCCUUUUGGUUCGGAAUAACUCAGGGAAACUUGUGCUAAUACCGAAUGUGCCCUUCGGGGGAAAGAUUUAUCGCCAUUAGAGCGGCCCGCGUCUGAUUAGCUAGUUGGUGAGGUAACGGCUCACCAAGGCGACGAUCAGUAGCUGGUCUGAGAGGAUGACCAGCCACACUGGGACUGAGGCACGGCCCAGACUCCUACGGGAGGCAGCAGUGGGGAAUCUUGCGCAAUGGGCGAAAGCCUGACGCAGCCAUGCCGCGUGAAUGAUGAAGGUCUUAGGAUUGUAAAAUUCUUUCACCGGGGACGAUAAUGACGGUACCCGGAGAAGAAGCCCCGGCUAACUUCGUG
Molecule: ribosomal RNA, 433 nt
Filed under: uncultured bacterium
Lineage: Bacteria
Description: partial 16S ribosomal RNA
Rfam family: Bacterial small subunit ribosomal RNA
Source: RNAcentral